AGUGAACGCUGGCGGCAGGCCUAACACAUGCAAGUCGAGCGGCAGCGCGGGGGCAACCCUGGCGGCGAGCGGCGGACGGGUGAGGAAUACAUCGGAAUCUACCUUCUUGUGGGGGAUAACGUAGGGAAACUUACGCUAAUACCGCAUGAGACCUGAGGGUGAAAGCAGGGGACCGCAAGGCCUUGCGCGAGAAGAUGAGCCGAUGUCCGAUUAGCUAGUUGGUGAGGUAAAGGCUCACCAAGGCGACGAUCGGUAGCUGGUCUGAGAGGAUGAUCAGCCACACUGGAACUGAGACACGGUCCAGACUCCUACGGGAGGCAGCAGUGGGGAAUAUUGGACAAUGGGCGCAAGCCUGAUCCAGC
This 362-nucleotide ribosomal RNA is filed under the name uncultured Arenimonas sp. RNAcentral's name for it is "bacterial SSU rRNA". It matches the Rfam family "Bacterial small subunit ribosomal RNA", at positions 30 to 392 of the family's 1533-position model. Lineage: Bacteria; Pseudomonadati; Pseudomonadota; Gammaproteobacteria; Lysobacterales; Lysobacteraceae. The record is from RNAcentral.